Molecule: long non-coding RNA, 1003 nt
Organism: Andrographis paniculata
Lineage: Eukaryota; Viridiplantae; Streptophyta; Magnoliopsida; Lamiales; Acanthaceae
Exons: 6
Source: RefSeq, a predicted model, not a curated record
UCUAAUCUGCUGCCCUCCCCCUUUCUUCCCCAAUUUUUCUUUUUUCUUUCUUUCUUCGUCUGCUUGUCCUUCUCUUCUUUUCUUUCUUCUUCUUUCUUCGUCCUCUUCUUCUUCUCUUCUUCUAAUUUUCCCGGCCGUCGUCGCUACUCUUCCUCUGCUGAUCGUCGUUGCUCGCUUUAUCCCCGCCCCAACGUCCCGUUGAAGUGAGGGCUUUAGGUGCGAUCACAGGAACACCUCUCCGGCGUCGACCCAUCAGCCACACGGAUAGGGACGAUAAGCAAAGAACAUGAUCUGAUGUAUGAGAAGCUGUUAACCAGUGGGUGAUAAGUGUGAAAGAUUUGUAGUGUUUCACAUUAUAGAAUGUCCUCUAGGAGGAAUAUGAUAGUUAUGAUCCCAAAAGAUAUGGUCCAUUGUCAUUGCCAUUUUUGAAGAAAAGGGCAAAAGUUAUAGAGAUAGUUGCUGCCCAUGAUAUUGUUUCUACUCUUGCACAAUCGGGUGUCUGCAGCAUUUAGUAGAGGUGACACACUUUCCCUUAUCAAGGUCUUUGUUACAUCCGCCUCAGUUCCGGACACACUCCUUAUUUUUUUGACCAUUAUUGGAGCGACUACCAUUCACAAUGUUGUCGGUGAAGAUCCUAUUGAGUGGAACUACAAGGAUCUCAUGCGCCACCCCUGAAGCAUAUCAAACGAUUCCUUAAUGUUUUACCCCGCUUGCCGUAUGGAUUGCAUGCCGUAGGUGUGUUUGGAUAGUAGGUUGUAAUUGCUAUGUGAACUAGCUAUGGAUUAGAUUCAUAGACAUUUGAAGUUAUCUUUUGUGUGGUGAAAAUUGUGUUUAUGGAUUGAUGGAUAUCCCUAUUUGCUUAUUACUAGGUUGAAUGUUUGAAAUGCUUGCAUUUUGCGGAACAUAAUGUCGUAGCAGAGAUGUUGCUCUUGUUUGAUGGGUUACUUUAUUUUUUAUUAGGUGAUGGACAUCAAUUCAUAAAUACCAUUAUAUUACUAUUCUA